CUGCUGUUUUAACAAUUUACUCGGAUUACAGUGUUAGCCAGAGUAUCCCUGUUAUUAGUUAAAGAAAAUUAGAUUAUUACAUAACAAUAUCUUGUACUAGUGUUUGCAAGUAGCUAAAAUUCAUGCCCAUAAAACAUAUAAGACUGUCUUUUGAAUUUACAUGUAAAAUUUGUCACUUGAAGUUAAGCAGACAUCAAUCAAUCAGUGCUUCGUAUAAAGCUUUUGAGACUGACAUUUUGAAUUGUGUAGAUUUUAAAUAUUUGUUUUUUUUUUAAAUAUAAAUCUCUGGAAACUUAAGUCUUGUUGGUGUUAUGAAUUAUUUGUUUGGUAACACAAGAUGAUUCAACUUUGCAUUAAACUUAUUUCAUAGGCAAGGAUUUACAAUGAUAUUUUAUUUAUUCAUUGUGGAAUUCAAAAUUUCUGUGAAAAUAAUGUGUCCAUUCUCACAUUAUGAUUUAACUAAAUCCUGAAUUCAUGACGAUUUAACUGGUGAAUUCCUGACUACUUUCAAAUUGAACAGCUAAGCCUUGAAUACCCUGAAAAAUACUUCCACAUUUACAUUUUCUGGUCACACUAUCACUUAUGAUAAAUAAGCGUUCUUUUACUUAAGUGGUCCCAUACCAUAUGAGCCUUAUUAAAGUAACCCUAACUUGUGCCUAACACAAUUUCUCAAACAUCCCUCUUAACGUAAAACAAAUCCUCAAAAUCUUCAGUCCUCACUUUAAGCCUAAACUGAACCCUAAGGGAGUAUCCAGGAUUCUUGAGAAAAGAGAGGCUCCCUUGGCAAGACUCAAUGUUUGCAUUGUAUUUGAAGCUCCAUAAGGGAGGGGGGUCAGAUCCCCCAACCCUUAAUCUGCCUCUGCAACCCUUACAUUUAUGGAAAAUUAAGAAACCAUUAUAAUCAUGAAUAUUGAAAGAACAUAUUGCAAAUAUUUCAGGUGUGUAGACUUUUGAUGAACUUAUGAUUUGCAUUGCUCCAUUACAAUCUCCCAUACAGACAGAGUUAUCGUCCUUUCCUCGAGGAAAGGACGAUAACUCUGUCUGUAUGGGAGAUUGGCUCCAUUAGUGAAGCUUACCUCCCUUGUUUUUAUAUACUUUGUUUUUAAAUUUUACACUGCACAAUUAAAAUACAGUUCAAAUUCUUUUAACAUAUUUCAUAGUUUGCAUUGUAAUUUUAGAAAAUGCCCUCAUAAUAUUGAAAAUUUCCACAGAAUGUUACAUGAAUAGCCUUAUAUAUAUAAUUCCAAUAUGAAUUAGAAAAAAGUUUAACAAUAUUUUUAAGCAGUACAAAAACUAAUUUAAAAAUUGAAUGCUAAUAAUGACUAUACAUGACACUGAUCUAAAAUCUAGACUAAUGACUAGUCUCAUAUUUCCAUUGUUGAAUGCAACUUUAUGAAUUGUGAAUUAAAUCCAUUCAUUUUUGACAUCAUGAUUAUUUCUGUGGAGUCUACAUAAUGGACAAAUCCUUGAUCGAAAUUCAAGUUUAUACGAUUUGAAUAAGAAUGUUCAUGCCAUACUAAAUCUUUGAUGAUGGGAGUAAAAAUGCAGUUGGGUAAAAAAUGUAUAAUGUGAAAUGAACCUUGCACAUCUCCCUAUACAGUUUCGUCUAAUCCUUCGUGAAGUUUAUGUCAAUUUUGUAACGUGGUCCUCAUUUUUGACUAAUGUAGUUUCAUAUUUCCAUUGUUGUACAUAUAUACUAUAUGAAUCGUGAAUUAAAUUUAAAUCCAUUCAUUUUUGACAUCUUGAUUAUUCCUGAGUCUAUAUAAUGGAGAAAUCCUCGAUAGAAACUCAGGUGGAUGCGAUUUAAAUAAGAUAUAUGUACAUUACCAAUGUCUUAUUUACAUGUCAAAAUACAUGUGAACUGGUGAUUGGAAUUUUUAAAUUUUCGGUUCCAAUUGGUGGACCGCAUACAAACUAUUAAGACAUCUUGAUUAUUCCUGAGUCUACAUAUAAAUGGAGAAAUCCUCGAUAAAAACUCAGGUUGAUGCGAUUUGAAUAAGAUUGUUAAUGCCAUAAUUAUUAUUACAAAAAUCUUUGAUCCACAAAGUCAAAAUGCAUCUGUAGAAAUAAUGUAAAAUGCGAAAUGAACCUUGCACAUUUCCCUUUACAGUUUUGUCUAAUCCGUGGUGAUGUUUACAUCAAUUUUGCAAUGUGGUCUUCAUUUUUUAUAUGACAUUUUUCAACUCCUCCAUAUUGUUUUCACAUAGAGCACUAACUUUAGUUAGUUCUUCCUUAAUAAUGUGUAUUUGAUCCUGCUGAAGAGCCACAAUGAUUAUUAAUACCACAAUUAAAAAUUCUUUCAGAAACUUAGGUAUAUUUUCCCCAUCUUGAUAGGAUACUAGAGAAAAAACACCAAGUCCAAAAAUAAAUUGAAAUGCCAUUUUAAUCAGGAAUAGGUACAUUUCCAUUGUCUUAUUUACAUGUCAAAAUACAUGUGAACUGGUGAUUGGAAUUUUUUAAUUUCGGUUCCAAUUGGUGGACCACAUACAAACUAUUAAGACAUUAACAAGUUUACAUCAAUUUUGCAACGUGGUCUUCAUUUUUGAUAUAACAUUUUUCAACUCCUCCGUAUUGUUUUCACAUAGAGCACUAACUUUAGCUAGUUCAUCCUUAAUAAUGUGUAUUUGAUCCUGUUGUUGAGCCACAAUGAUUAUUAAUACCACAAUUAAUAACCCUCUCAGAAAUCUAGGUAUAUUAUCUGCAUUCUGAUAGAAUACUAGAGAAAAAAGACCAAGUACAAAAAUAAUUUCAAAUGCCUUUUUAAUCUCGUAUAUGUACAUUACCAAUGUCUUAUUUACAUGUCAAAAUACAUGUGAACUCGGAAUUUUUAAA
RNAcentral lists this long non-coding RNA (2832 nucleotides) under Mytilus galloprovincialis (Mediterranean mussel). Lineage: Eukaryota; Metazoa; Mollusca; Bivalvia; Mytilida; Mytilidae. The record is from RNAcentral.